UAUGCCCACAUCAAGGUGAAACACUAGUUCCUGUAUGAUCUCUGAAGUUAAGUCAUGUCCAGCCUGGUCAGUGCCUAGAUGGGUCACCACUUGAGAAUAUCACGCGCUGUAAG
Non-coding RNA from Acanthosepion pharaonis, 113 nucleotides. Lineage: Eukaryota; Metazoa; Mollusca; Cephalopoda; Sepiida; Sepiidae. The record is from the annotation of a GenBank genome assembly.